This is a long non-coding RNA of Brassica rapa (field mustard), 2255 nucleotides long. RefSeq lists it as uncharacterized. The record is from RefSeq and is a predicted model, not a curated record. Lineage: Eukaryota; Viridiplantae; Streptophyta; Magnoliopsida; Brassicales; Brassicaceae.
AAGUGGAAGAUGAUAACAAUAUGAUUAAAACAUGCAACAAAAAGAUAGAUUAGUGAGAAAGACAUGAGAUAAAAAUGAAAAAUUCAUAUAAAGUUUAGUGUUUUCAAUUCAAAGAGAUUAGAGAGAGGUUGGAGAGUUUUAGAAUGAGGAACAUACCAUUUUUGUUGUAGCCAUUUGAGAAGAGUAGAGAGAAUGUGUAAAUUUUUCUUUAUAUAUAGAAACAAAAAUUCCAAUAAGGUUAAAUAUUUUCGAUCAGAAGAUUUACUAGACGACUUACUUGUAAGUCGCUCAGAAGACUUCAAUAUUUUAACUAAAAUAUUUUUAGCGGGAGUUAGAAGACUUUGAGAUAAGUUUUCUAAUCGCAAGACAACUUACAUGUUAGUCGUCUAAACCCUAAACAUAACUCCUAAACUAAAUUAACUAAUUAAACACUUCAUAAAAUUAAAUUAAAUUUAAAAAGUAUUUACUAUAUACAGAAAUAAUCACAUGUAGGUAAAAAAAUUAAUUUUUCAAAAAAACAUUUAAGCUUUCUAAAAUCCAACCCUAAGAAUACAUACAAUACAACAACAUAUGUUACCAAACCCUAGACCAAAGAAUAUCAUGAUUCAUUACUUUCACUAAUCUAUGUUUAAAACAAUUCAAUUUUAUUAAAUCUUAAUUUAUAUCACUUAAAACUGUUUAUAAUUACAUGAUUUUGAUUUUUCUUUUAUCAAAAUAAUUUUUACAAAAAUUAUAAAUUAUUUUUAAGAUCAACUAUACCAGACGACUUCCGUGGAUGUCAUCCAGAAGACUUAACAGAAUCUCAAAAGAUUCAGAAGACUUAGCGGUGCUAUAUUCGUAAAAAUGAGUUAUUUUUUUUGUUUGGUUACAAGGGGCUGACAGUAAUUUCACAAGACUUUUGGUUUACUUUUGCAUUUGAUUCAAGUUUAGGUAUACUUUUGCAAUCAAAAUCAAUUUUUGAGUCAUAUUUGGUAAUUCUCCCAAAAUUCUAUUAAUCUUUUAAAAUCUUUACCAAAUAAUUUUAAAUUUUAUUUCCAAAAAUUGAUUAACUUAAGUUUUAGUUAUCAUAAAAUAUAAUCAGAAAAUUAAUUUAAAUUUAGUUUUCACUUGUAAACGAAAGUUAAAAAUUAAAUAAAAUAUUUUAGUGAUAAUAACAACAUUAAAUUAUUACUUCUCAAAAACACAUUUUACAAAGAUUUUAAAAAGCUUUUAUUGGAAAGCAGUAUAAAAUUUUUUUUCUAUUUUAAAAUAAAAACUUAUUUAUUAAACACAUAAAUCCUGACUUAUUACAUGUGUGAUUUUUUAAUAUAAAUUAUCUUUUAGAGGUCGCAAUUUAAAUGCUUCUGUCAUGUAACAUUACAAUUUAUGUCAAUAAUUUGAACACAUAUAUAAUAUUCUUAUUAAUGGUUAAAUUUUAAUUUACACGUCUUCAUAUACGAAACAUUUAACCUCUUUACAUAUCAUAUAUAUACAAAUUUAGACAGAUGUUUCAAAAAAAAAUACAAAUUUAGACAGCUAUUAUUAGGGGUUAUAUAUUCUGUUGAGUUAAAAACCAUUCAUUUUAAUAUUUAAAAACUAUGCCAAAUUUCUUUAUUAAUCACUAUAUAUAAAUUAUACUCCAACAAUAAAUGGAAAAACAAAAUAUAUAUACAAAAUGAAUAUAUACAUGAAUGAAUACAUUAAACAUGAACACAUUUUUAUCAUAUAUAUGCAUACUAAUGUCAUAACAUGAACACAUUUUGAUCAAGAAAAAGAAUGACCUAUAUAUGUCAAAAAGAUUGAUAUUCCAACACUAUUAUAUAUGAAGAGAACAUACAUUUAUCAAACUAAUUUAAUAGUACUUUGAAAGAAGAAGUUUUUACGAAGAAGUUUCCUCAAUUUAGACAUCGUUCAUGUACCUCGGACAGAGAACCUACGAGAGGAUAGCUUAGCACGCAGUGCUAGGAAACAACCGUCUUUCGUCGUUCACAUGGAUGCGGAGUUACCGAUUUGGUUUACAGAGUCAAUAUAAGUCUGUGAAUGUCUUGUUGUCAAAAAAAAAUUUAAUAGUACAGUAUAUAACAUAAUUCCAAUAAAUUUUAAUCUUACCUCAUAUUUGAUACUAUUUUCAAAUUUACCUUUAACUUAAUUUCAUUUUCAUAAAUAUCUUGAAUUUAUGAUUAAAAGAUAAAAUUAACCGGCCCAAAACUUUUUAAAAUAUAUAAGAUUUAUUUAUAGAAGUUUAUAAACUCAACUUCACCACCUAAAUAAUAAAU